This 460-nucleotide ribosomal RNA is filed under the name uncultured bacterium. RNAcentral describes it as "bacterial SSU rRNA". It matches the Rfam family "Bacterial small subunit ribosomal RNA", at positions 28 to 502 of the family's 1533-position model. The record is from RNAcentral.
GACGAACGCUGGCGGCGCGCCUAACACAUGCAAGUCGAACGAGCGAGAGAGAGCUUGCUUUCUCGAGCGAGUGGCGAACGGGUGAGUAACGCGUGAGGAACCUGCCUCAAAGAGGGGGACAACAGUUGGAAACGACUGCUAAUACCGCAUAAGCCCGCGGUGCCGCAUGGCACAGAGGGAAAAGGAGCAAUCCGCUUUGAGAUGGCCUCGCGUCCGAUUAGCUAGUUGGUGAGGUAAUGGCCCACCAAGGCGACGAUCGGUAGCCGGACUGAGAGGUUGAACGGCCACAUUGGGACUGAGACACGGCCCAGACUCCUACGGGAGGCAGCAGUGGGGAAUAUUGCACAAUGGGGGAAACCCUGAUGCAGCGACGCCGCGUGGAGGAAGAAGGUCUUCGGAUUGUAAACUCCUGUUGUUGGGGAAGAUAAUGACGGUACCCAACAAGGAAGUGACGCUAACU